Sciurus carolinensis (gray squirrel) is the source of this 132-nucleotide small nucleolar RNA. RefSeq annotates it as small nucleolar RNA SNORA42/SNORA80 family. NCBI's taxonomy places the organism in Eukaryota, Metazoa, Chordata, Mammalia, Rodentia, Sciuridae. The transcript has a single exon. The record is from RefSeq and is a predicted model, not a curated record.
GCAGGGGUUUGGAUUUAUGCAGGCCUGCCCUGGGUCUCUCACAGUGUCCCAUGCCAGAGCGAACUACACCCCCAAACCACUGCCUGGCCUCUGUGUCCACAGGCUGCUGGCACUGAAGUUGGCUGCACAGUG